AAUGAACGCUGGCGGCAUGCCUUACACAUGCAAGUCGAACGGCAGCAUGACCUAGCUUGCUAGGUUGAUGGCGAGUGGCGAACGGGUGAGUAAUGCAUCGGAACGUGCCUUUUAGUGGGGGAUAACGUAGCGAAAGUUACGCUAAUACCGCAUAUUCUCUGAGGAGGAAAGCAGGGGACCUUCGGGCCUUGCGCUAGAAGAGCGGCCGAUGUCGGAUUAGCUAGUUGGUGAGGUAAAGGCUCACCAAGGCAACGAUCCGUAGCGGGUCUGAGAGGAUGAUCCGCCACACUGGGACUGAGACACGGCCCAGACUCCUACGGGAGGCAGCAGUGGGGAAUUUUGGUCAAUGGGCGCAAGCCUGAUCCAGCCAUGCCGCGUGAGUGAAGAAGGCCUUCGGGUUGUAAAGCUCUUUCGGCUGGGAAGAAAUCGCACCCUCUAAUACAGGGUGUGGAUGACGGUACCAGCAUAAGAAGCACCGGCUAACUACGUG
RNAcentral lists this ribosomal RNA (490 nucleotides) under uncultured bacterium. RNAcentral's name for it is "partial 16S ribosomal RNA". It matches the Rfam family "Bacterial small subunit ribosomal RNA", at positions 29 to 507 of the family's 1533-position model. The record is from RNAcentral.